This 468-nucleotide ribosomal RNA is filed under the name uncultured bacterium. RNAcentral's name for it is "partial 16S ribosomal RNA". It matches the Rfam family "Bacterial small subunit ribosomal RNA", at positions 28 to 507 of the family's 1533-position model. The record is from RNAcentral.
GACGAACGCUGGCGGCGUGCUUAACACAUGCAAGUCGAACGGAAAGGCCCUGCUUUUGUGGGGUGCACGAGUGGCGAACGGGUGAGUAACACGUGAGUAACCUGCCCUUGACUUUGUGAUAACUUCAGGAAACUGGGGCUAAUACCGGAUAGGAGCUCCUGCUGCAUGGUGUGGGUUGGUAAGUUUCGGCGGUAGGGGAUGGACUCGCGGCUUAUCAGCUUGUUGGUGGGGUAGUGGCUUACCAAGGUUUUGACGGGUAGCCUGCCUGAGAGGGUGACCGGCCACAUUGGGACUGAGAUACGGCCCAGACUCCUACGGGAGGCAGCAGUGGGGAAUAUUGCACAAUGGGCGGAAGCCUGAUGCAGCAACGCCGCGUGCGGGAUGACGGCCUUCGGGUUGUAAACCGCUUUCGCCUGUGACGAAGCGUGAGUGACGGUAAUGGGUAAAGAAGCACCGGCUAACUACGUG